Nicotiana attenuata is the source of this 1213-nucleotide long non-coding RNA. RefSeq lists it as uncharacterized. Lineage: Eukaryota; Viridiplantae; Streptophyta; Magnoliopsida; Solanales; Solanaceae. The transcript has 3 exons. The record is from RefSeq and is a predicted model, not a curated record.
AUUAAAACAACACAUUACGUUCUGGCAUAAUUGGUGUGAUAUAUAUCAUAAAAAGGAGUGAAAAAAAUGUGAAAUCUGCAGUUGUCUAGAUUUUGCAUGUUUGGCAAUUAAAUGAAACCUUCCACGAGAAUGUGGUGAACAAGAUUAACUUCUAAAUGCUGGUAUGGAAAGUAUUUGUUGACAGUUCCAAUAAGUAUGAAAAAUAUUCAACAGGAAAAAUCUUCUAAAAACUUAUUCAGUUCAAGUUACUAUAACAACCAGGAACUUCAAAGAAAUUGGGAUGUUUUGUUUCCCCAUGUUAUACAUCUUCCAAUGGUGCUUUAACACUGAUUGGUGCUGGUCCAGAGGUCUCCCUUAUUAGGUUCAUGCUAUUGGUUGCUGCUUCUGAUAUGAAAUAGAAGACUAACAAGAACAUAUGUAAUAUGUAUGUACAAGCAUCUCAAUCCCUUCAUCCUCAAAUAUUGGAAGUUGAGUAUCCUGAUAAAAGGCUUUCCCUUAAGUUUCCUUACUCCCUUUCCAUCCUACAAGCUGUACUUACAGCUUGAUUUGACUGUAGCAAAAGGUGUGGUUUACAGAUUUAUUGAUUUAUUUGUUUAUGUAGGUGAGGAGUGGUGUCACAUUCCAAGCCUUUGCUUAACCCUAUUGUUUUAAUCCACAUUGUGAAAUUCUUUAAGCUAACUAAAUGUCUAAAACAGCUGGCAAAAUCGCAUAUCACUGAAAAUAUCAGUUAUCACUUCUUCUUUGUUUCAUUUCUAAUUCAUUCUCAGCCAUCUAGUUCUCUCUCUCUCUCUCUCUCUCUCUCUCUCUCUCUCUCUCUCUCUCUCUCUCUCUCUCUGUUUCUGGAAUCUGCUUUUCCUUGUAGUGUUUACCUCACCUAUUCAGAAUGAAAGCCUCCACUUACCCUUUUUCCUUUUGCAGUUUAAGACAAUAAAAUUUAUAACUGGACACUCAAAUGGUUUAGCUAUGCAGAUUUUGAAUAGAUGUGUCUGACUCACCAUUUAUGAGAAUGAUGUCCACAAGAAAGGCCGGUAGAUUGAUUAAACAACUCCCAUAAAAGCUCAAACGAGAAUUUUAUAUUCAACCUUCAAGAUCCGCUACUUGAAGAAACCAGUGUGUAAGGACCAGGUCUAGCAGAUCCAUCAAAAUAGAUAGUUCAAUCAGAAAAGCAUGCAAGCUGUGCAACCUUACAGCAGACUACCAGGUUAGUUCUGUG